AAGUGCUGGAGCAGCUUUCAGAUUGGGAUAAUGAGGAUACUGAUGGAGACGAAGGUCCAUCAGGAUCACGAAGAAGCUAUUGCCGUAUUG
This 90-nucleotide microRNA precursor is filed under the name Bombyx mori (domestic silkworm). RNAcentral describes it as "microRNA bmo-mir-2825 precursor". Lineage: Eukaryota; Metazoa; Arthropoda; Insecta; Lepidoptera; Bombycidae. The record is from miRBase by way of RNAcentral.